Small nucleolar RNA from Mangifera indica (mango), 84 nucleotides. RefSeq annotates it as small nucleolar RNA Z102/R77. NCBI's taxonomy places the organism in Eukaryota, Viridiplantae, Streptophyta, Magnoliopsida, Sapindales, Anacardiaceae. The record is from RefSeq and is a predicted model, not a curated record. The transcript has a single exon.
GAAUGAAAGGAUGAUUGAAUAUGUUUCCCUAUUGGUUUGAUUGCCGCGAUGAUGGCCAUUUCUAGUAACUCUAUCUGAUCAUUC